AUUAACGCUAGCGGCAGGCAUAAUACAUGCAAGUUGAACGGCAGCACAGGUAGCAAUACCGGGUGGCGAGUGGCGCACGGGUGCGUAACACGUAUGCAACCUACUCUAUACAGGCGAAUAACCUUUAGAAAUGAGGGCUAAUACGCCGUGGUAUUAUCUUGGGGCAUCUUGAGAUAAUUAAAGAUUUAUCGGUAUAGGAUGGGCAUGCGUCCCAUUAGUUAGUUGGUAGGGUAACGGCCUACCAAGGCUAUGAUGGGUAGGGG
This 263-nucleotide ribosomal RNA is filed under the name uncultured bacterium. RNAcentral's name for it is "partial 16S ribosomal RNA". It matches the Rfam family "Bacterial small subunit ribosomal RNA", at positions 29 to 289 of the family's 1533-position model. The record is from RNAcentral.